CCUACGGGUGGCAGCAGUGAGGAAUAUUGGUCAAUGGGCGCGAGCCUGAACCAGCCAAGUCGCGUGAGGGAGGAAGGCCCUACGGGUUGUAAACCUCUUUUGCCGGGGAGCAACGGGCGCCACGUGUGGGGUCACGGAGAGUACCCGGAGAAAAAGCAGCGGCUAACUCCGUGCCAGCAGCCGCGGUAAUAAGGAGGAUGCGAGCGUGAGCGGGAUUUAUGGGGUUGAAAGGGUGCGUAGGCGGAUCGUUAAGUCAGUGGUCCAAUUGAGGGGCUCCACCCCUUCCCGCCAUUGAAACUGGCGUUCUUGAGUGGACGAGAGGUCUGCGGAAUGC
This 334-nucleotide ribosomal RNA is filed under the name uncultured bacterium. Its description in RNAcentral is "partial 16S ribosomal RNA". It matches the Rfam family "Bacterial small subunit ribosomal RNA", at positions 338 to 669 of the family's 1533-position model. The record is from RNAcentral.